GUGUCAGCAGCCGCGGUAAUACGGGGGGAGCAAGCGUUGUCCGGAAUCAUUGGGCGUAAAGGGCGUGUAGGCGGUUUGGCAAGUCGAAUGUGAAAUCCCACGGCUCAACCGUGGAACUGCGUUCGAAACUGCCUGACUUGAGUGCGGGAGAGGUGUGCGGAAUUCCUGGUGUAGCGGUGGAAUGCGUAGAUAUCAGGAAGAACACCGGUGGCGAAGGCGGCACACUGGCCCAGCACUGACGCUGAGGCGCGAAAGCGUGGGGAGCGAACGGGAUUAGAUACCCCCGUAGUCC
This 292-nucleotide ribosomal RNA is filed under the name uncultured bacterium. Its description in RNAcentral is "partial 16S ribosomal RNA". It matches the Rfam family "Bacterial small subunit ribosomal RNA", at positions 505 to 796 of the family's 1533-position model. The record is from RNAcentral.